RNAcentral lists this microRNA precursor (205 nucleotides) under Oryza brachyantha (malo sina). RNAcentral's name for it is "MIR812 microRNA precursor family". It matches the Rfam family "MIR812 microRNA precursor family". Lineage: Eukaryota; Viridiplantae; Streptophyta; Magnoliopsida; Poales; Poaceae. The record is from Rfam by way of RNAcentral.
UUUAAUUAACGCCGUUGACUUUUGGAUCUAGGUUUGACCUUUCGUCUUAUUCAACAAAAUUAUAUAAUUAUUGAUUAUUUUGUUAUGAUUUGAUUUAUUACUAAAGUAACUUUAAGUAGGAUUUACAAGUUUGCAUAUUUGAACAAAAAUUUUGAAUAAGACGAAGGGUCAAACAUAAAUCCAAAUGUCAAUUGCGUCAAUUAAA